This 465-nucleotide ribosomal RNA is filed under the name uncultured bacterium. RNAcentral describes it as "partial 16S ribosomal RNA". It matches the Rfam family "Bacterial small subunit ribosomal RNA", at positions 28 to 507 of the family's 1533-position model. The record is from RNAcentral.
GACGAACGCUGGCGGCGUGCUUAACACAUGCAAGUCGUACGGUAAGGCCCUUUCGGGGGUACACGAGUGGCGAACGGGUGAGUAACACGUGAGUAACCUGCCCACAACUUUGGGAUAACGCUAGGAAACUGGUGCUAAUACUGGAUAUGUGCUCCUGCUGCAUGGUGGGGGUUGGAAAGCUCCGGCGGUUGUGGAUGGACUCGCGGCCUAUCGGCUUGUUGGUGGGGUAGUGGCCUACCAAGGCGGCGACGGGUAGCCGGCCUGAGAGGGUGACCGGCCACAUUGGGACUGAGAUACGGCCCAGACUCCUACGGGAGGCAGCAGCGGGGAAUAUUGCACAAUGGGCGCAAGCCAGAUGCAGCAACGCCGCGGGCGGGAUGACGGCCUUCGGGUUGUAAACCGCUUUCAGCAGGGACGAAGCUUUUUGUGACGGUACCUGCAGAAGAAGCACCGGCUAACUACGUG